This 118-nucleotide ribosomal RNA is filed under the name Ipomoea nil (Japanese morning glory). Lineage: Eukaryota; Viridiplantae; Streptophyta; Magnoliopsida; Solanales; Convolvulaceae. The record is from RNAcentral.
GGAUCGAUCAUACCAGCACUAAUGCACCGGAUCCCAUCAGAACUCCGAAGUUAAGCGUGCUUGGGCGAGAGUAGUACUAGGAUGGGUGACCCCCUGGGAAGUCCUCGUGUUGCAUCCC